GUUCACAAUUGUAUAUCAUUUUGUACCCUUCUAGCUUAUGAUUUGGUUAUGUUAUUGAGUCAAACGUGUGCUUUUAAUCCCUUUUCUGUUUAUCAUUCAGUUCAUUGGGCCUUAGGUAGCAAUGGUGUCUUUGGAUAAGAAAAGAUGCAAAAUGGUGCAAAAACGAGCAGACUGGGUUAGCAACUCAUUUCGGCCUUAACAUCUUUCUCCGACUUGGAUUGGCCCAAAUAAUAUGUAGUUGGAAAGAUGAGAGUCUGAACUUCAAGAUGGACUACUCAAAUGCAUCAGAUUAUGAAGUUGAGCCCAAUUCGUGAGCCCAUAUACACACCAGGCUCAGGAUUGCAGUUUCCAGUUGUUGAGCCUUGGAUACUUUCUUUGAGCCAUGUGACUCACCACAGCUUUCCUUGACUUUAGACCUGACAUGUUGAGCAAUUAAGGGAGGAGUGUCAGCUACUCAAGUGCAAAGGAGCCUUGACUUUAGACCAGACAUGUUGAGCAAUUUAGGGAGCAAUUUAGGGAGGUGUGUCAGCUACUCAAAGGCAAAGGAUUCACUCAAUUGACCAAUAAUUCACUCCAGCCAUCCUAUAUUACUCCAUUCAGCCCAAAAUCAGAAGGGGAACAACUCCAACAAGCCUUCCUUCCAUUUCCUACGAAUUUGUUCUUUCUCUGCCAUCACCAACCACCCAAACUCAUCCCAAAUCACCUCUUUAGUUGCCAUACUCUAGACAUGAGAAAGUUCUUGGAGUAGCAUUAGACGUGGAGAAGCACCUGGAGAAGCCUUGGAAACCAUAAGCAACUUCAGAAUUGGGUUUCUCUACUCUUAUUGCAUUCAAUAUGUUUUCUCAUUUUUGCUUAAGUUUCAUUUCCAUUAUGAGUAGCUAAAUUCAUAACUAGGGCUAUGAUAUAACCUAACAUGAAUAUUCUGGGUUUAUAAGUUGAAGUUUUGAGUUUCAAGUUUGAUUCAUGAUUCAUAUUCCUAUUCUUUAUGCUUAUCAGUUAAUAUGCUUGUUUGGAUGAUUGAUCACCAUUAGAACUUGUAUAUUAGCUACCUUGGUUUGAAUCAAGAGUAGACACCAUGCUUUGAUUUGAAUUGAACUAUGAAUAAGAAAAGUAUGUAUGGACAUUCGACAACAGGGAUUAGAUA
This is a long non-coding RNA of Prunus persica (peach), 1144 nucleotides long. RefSeq lists it as uncharacterized. The transcript is spliced from 2 exons. The record is from RefSeq and is a predicted model, not a curated record. NCBI's taxonomy places the organism in Eukaryota, Viridiplantae, Streptophyta, Magnoliopsida, Rosales, Rosaceae.